RNAcentral lists this ribosomal RNA (505 nucleotides) under uncultured bacterium. RNAcentral describes it as "partial 16S ribosomal RNA". It matches the Rfam family "Bacterial small subunit ribosomal RNA", at positions 899 to 1397 of the family's 1533-position model. The record is from RNAcentral.
ACUCAAAUGAAUUGACGGGGGCCCGCACAAGCGGUGGAACAUGUGGUUUAAUUCGACACUACGCGAGGAACCUUACCUAGGCUUGACAUGUUUGUGACAGUUAUAGAAAUAUAAUCUUCUGGAUUUCGGUUCAGACACAAUCACAGGUGCUGCAUGGCUGUCGUCAGCUCGUGUCGUGAGAUGUUGGGUUAAGUCCUCUAACGAGCGCAACCCUUGCUGUCAGUUGCUACAUCGUAAGAUGAGCACUCUGAUGGGACUGCCUGGGAAACCAGGAGGAAGGUGGGGAUGACGUCAAGUCCGCAUGGCCCUUAUGCCUAGGGCUACACACGUGUUACAAUGGCCGGUACAAAGGGCUGCUAAUCCGCAAGGACAUGCCAAUCCCAAAAAGCCGGUCUAAGUUCAGAUUGGGGUCUGCAACUCGACCCCAUGAAGUUGAAAUCGCUAGUAAUCGCAUAUCAGCAACGAUGCGGUGAAUACGUUCUCGGGCCUUGUACACACCGCCCGU